RNAcentral lists this transfer RNA (72 nucleotides) under Camelus bactrianus (Bactrian camel). It matches the Rfam family "tRNA". Rfam says of the family: Transfer RNA (tRNA) molecules are approximately 80 nucleotides in length. Their secondary structure includes four short double-helical elements and three loops (D, anti-codon, and T loops). RNAcentral also lists the same sequence under 1 other name. The record is from Rfam by way of RNAcentral. Lineage: Eukaryota; Metazoa; Chordata; Mammalia; Artiodactyla; Camelidae.
GAGGGUAUAACUCAGUGGCAGAGUGUAUGCUUAGCAUGCACAACAUCCUGGGUUCAAUCCCCAGUUUCUCCA